Carassius carassius (crucian carp) is the source of this 915-nucleotide long non-coding RNA. RefSeq lists it as uncharacterized. The record is from RefSeq and is a predicted model, not a curated record. NCBI's taxonomy places the organism in Eukaryota, Metazoa, Chordata, Actinopteri, Cypriniformes, Cyprinidae. The transcript has 2 exons.
UUGUGGACUGCCGACUCACUCGGGCCAGCAUGUAAAUGAGCGUGCGUGUGUAAGUCAGCGUGUGUUCCUGUAAUCAAAAUCUCAGAGGUCCUCUAUAUAUGUUAAACGUUUCCUUUUUUCUGUUGUGUAAACACAUUUCUUUCCAUUGGCUAACAUUAUUUAUGCCAGAGGCAUCAGCAGCGUCUUAAGUGGUUUAUCUGCAAAGCGUUGUACUUUUCUACUCAUCUCACAUUGCUUUUUACCAUAGUCAGAUUCUCCUAUUUGUCUAUCCACAACAGGAGCAAAAUGAGGGACUUAGCCUGGGGCUGUGCAAAAAAUCAACGGCAAGAGAAUUUGGUUGCUUUGAAUUUCUGGGAUUCUGUGAGCAUUUCUUCCCAGCAACAGACUAUGACUGAUUUAUUGAGUGAGCUCUGUGUGCAGCUUUGUGCUGGUCAAUAUUGCACAUUAUGUAAGAAAGUAUUUCACAACAUAUGUGAAGAUAAAGGAGGUUACACACCAUGUGAGCAUUAAACCUCUUCAACUUUUGCAUUUGUACAGAUAUAUAUGAUUAUAGUGAAAAGUUACAUAUGCAUUGUACAAAUCUUUGGGAUCUGAAUCCAUUAGCAUGGCACUGUAUUUUUAGGACACCUGCAAUGUCAUUUUCAGUACUGGCAGCUCCGAGGCCAGCUGUUUCGUGCACAAUCUCAGAUUGUUUGAGAGUCAGUAGAAGGGCUGUUAUUACAACAAAACUUUGCAUGCAUGUUGUCCACAUGGUUGUAUACACACACACACACACACACACACACACACACACAUAUAUAUACACAUAUAUAUAUAUACACACAUACAUACAUACACUUAAUUAAUUACUGAAAAAACAAUCAUCCCACAAAUCUGGCUGAGAAUAUGUUAAGCUGCUGAAGCCUAAAACAGUCA